CCACACAUGGGAGAGUGCCUAAUAUUAAUUGCUAAUGGAAUUAAGUGACUAGUCAUCAGAGAAAUGCUGAGGAAGAGAAAAAGACGAUGUGUAUCUUCAUAGCCCAGAGUGCAGAGGAAAAAGCUCCCGUGGCUCUUUACUAGACCAAGAAUUUUCAUUCAAAGAUUUCUAUGCCUUUUUCAAGCAUCAGCCAGCAAGGCCUAGAAAUACUCUGACAAUACAGACCUUUCUGCUGGAGCUGUAUACCCAGCGGUGGUGUCUCAGAGGCUGAAAUGAGGCAGCUUCUAAGCUUCUGCUCUGCUGAUGUCGACUUGCACGAGCUCAUGGGCUUGGUGAGCUUCCAGCUCGUAGUCGCUCGUCGCCUUUUUUGGCUCUCCUCCUGGGAUUUGCUGCAUCUUGAUCCAGGUAUCGACACCCGCCAGGAGCAGCGAUCGAUCACGGUAUCAAACCACUCAUCUUUGCAAAAAGAAAAUAAGCUGAUAAAUGGUGUUUGCUCUACUAACUGCCAUUUUCUGCCAAGCUCCUGGAGGACAGGCGAAAGGGAAGAAGAGGUCCUGCUAUUUCUCUGCUGCUUGCAAUGGAAAGAUAAGAACAGGUGCCCACAAACCUGCCAGUUGAGGAAUUAAGCGUUCAAGAUGAAUUUUGAUGUUAAUGAGGCACGCAGAGCGUGCGACGGGCAGCCCCAGAGGAUUCAUCGGGGGCUUGUGCCAGAUACUUGUUGAAAUAAUUGGAAAGACUUCCACUGACUUCAGGAAGCUCCGGUUCCCUUCCUAAUUGCACCCUCCCAUCUUUCUCAGGGACUUGAACCCAGGAAGCUGGAUCUGCUGUGCUGAUGCACCCACAGCUCCCUAAUCUUCUUUCUGUGCCAGAGCUCUGGAAAACCAGUUUGUAUCUGUGCUUCAGUCUUCUGGGUAUGUCAGUUACACGCAUCAGGGCCUCAGUUUCCCCAUCUGCAAAGAUAAAGGUAAUGAUAGCUGCUUCUUUUAAAAUAAUUCCU
RNAcentral lists this long non-coding RNA (997 nucleotides) under Calidris pugnax (ruff). Its description in RNAcentral is "lncRNA (ENSCPUG00000016441.1)". The record is from RNAcentral. Lineage: Eukaryota; Metazoa; Chordata; Aves; Charadriiformes; Scolopacidae.